UACAGAGGUCCCGAGCGUUGUUCGGAUUCACUGGGCGUAAAGGGUGCGUAGGUGGUGAGGUAAGUCGGAUGUGAAAUCUCCGAGCUCAACUCGGAAAUGGCAUUGGAAACUACCUUGCUUGAGGGUUGGAGGGGGGACUGGAAUACUUGGUGUAGCAGUGAAAUGCGUAGAUAUCGUUUGGAACGCCAAUGGUGAAAACAGGUUGCUGGGAGUGUGCUGACGCUGAGACACGAAAGCCAGGGGAGCGAACGGG
This 253-nucleotide ribosomal RNA is filed under the name uncultured bacterium. Its description in RNAcentral is "partial 16S ribosomal RNA". It matches the Rfam family "Bacterial small subunit ribosomal RNA", at positions 524 to 776 of the family's 1533-position model. The record is from RNAcentral.